This 254-nucleotide ribosomal RNA is filed under the name uncultured bacterium. RNAcentral's name for it is "partial 16S ribosomal RNA". It matches the Rfam family "Bacterial small subunit ribosomal RNA", at positions 524 to 776 of the family's 1533-position model. The record is from RNAcentral.
UACGUAGGAUGCUAGCGUUGUCCGGAUUUAUUGGGCGUAAAGAGCUCGUAGGCGGCUUGGCAAGUCGGGUGUGAAACCUCCAGGCUCAACCUGGAGACGCCACUCGAUACUGCUAUGGCUAGAGUCCGGUAGGGGACCACGGAAUUCCUGGUGUAGCGGUGAAAUGCGCAGAUAUCAGGAGGAACACCGGUGGCGAAGGCGGUGGUCUGGGCCGGCACUGACGCUGAGGAGCGAAAGCGUGGGUAGCAAACAGG